GAUGAACGCUGGCGGCGUGCCUAAUACAUGCAAGUCGAGCGAACAGACGAGGAGCUUGCUCCUCUGACGUUAGCGGCGGACGGGUGAGUAACACGUGGGUAACCUACCUAUAAGACUGGGAUAACUUCGGGAAACCGGAGCUAAUACCGGAUAAUAUAUUGAACCGCAUGGUUCAAUAGUGAAAGACGGUUUUGCUGUCACUUAUAGAUGGAUCCGUGCCGCAUUAGCUAGUGGGUAAGGUAACGGCUUACCAAGGCAACGAUGCGUAGCCGACCUGGGAGGGUGAUCGGCCACACUGGAACUGAGACACGGUCCAGACUCCUACGGGAGGCAGCAGUAGGGAAUCUUGCGCAAUGGGCGAAAGCCUGACGGAGCAACGCCGCGUGUAUGAUGAAGGUCUUCGGAUCGUAAAACUCUGUCAGUAGGGAAGAACAAAUGUGUAAGUAACUAUGCACGUCUUGACGGUACCUAAUCAGAAAGCCACGGCUAACUACGUG
This 497-nucleotide ribosomal RNA is filed under the name uncultured bacterium. RNAcentral describes it as "partial 16S ribosomal RNA". It matches the Rfam family "Bacterial small subunit ribosomal RNA", at positions 28 to 507 of the family's 1533-position model. The record is from RNAcentral.